CAAAGUAUAGUUUAAUAAAAUGUUAGUUUUGGGGAUUAAAGAUAAGGUAAGUUCUUUACUUUGA
Molecule: transfer RNA, 64 nt
Filed under: Margattea limbata
Lineage: Eukaryota; Metazoa; Arthropoda; Insecta; Blattodea; Pseudophyllodromiidae
Description: tRNA-Pro
Source: RNAcentral